ACGCGGAGACUGGCGUGAGGCAGCAACAGGACGACACGACACCACGGACACACAGGUGAUGACGCACGGGGAGUAUCCAUGGAAACGACAGGAGGAUGUGACACCCUGGACACACAGGAUAUGUGACAUCUUGGACACAGAUGCAGGCAGUUGGAGAAAUCCUUCCCCAGCCCUGGACCUGCAAAUAAAAACAUUACUUUCAAGCUAUUUUUGAAAAACGAAAAGGCUGCAUCAAAACACUGCUGUGCAAGGGAUCAAACUCAAGAAGAUACUCACGGCUUCUUCCCAUCCAGUUCCGAUGAUAAGCUCGGUGACUUUUGCAUCUUGUUCAAAUGUAAUGUCACUGAUGUUGAGGAGACAACAAACGUGAUUCUUUUCACUUCGUUCAUCUGGACAAGAACAGGGCACCCAUCUCCAGCUCCUUCAACUGUUCCCCCACAUUAGGGGAGUUUGUGAAUAUGAGGGGAUACCAGAUAGUACAUGUACGCAGAGAGAAAGAGGAACAGCAGAGGCCAAAAGAUCUGAUACUGGCUCACUGUUAGCAGAUGACAAAUCAAAGAUCAACGGAGAGUGGAUGGAUGCGUGCUUCCUGAAAACUGGAUGCGGUUUUGACUUUAUACUGGAAUGCAGAAAUCUGCAUUUACAUGUUUUCUGCUAGUAAAAUCAUGUCCAAUUGCAGAUUUGAAGUCAAUCAAGAGCUCAUGGUACCCAUUUCUUGGCUUCCCCUGAGCUUUACAACCUGAUUCGGCUUGAGAAACAUUGGUAUAAAGCAUACAUCCAAGUCCAUACUAAUGUCUUCCAUCACGUCAAAAAAACACAAAGAUCACAGUGAAAAUGCUGCCAUGGGAAACGCAUUUGCAGAUGCAACUGUAAAAAUGGAUUUGGAGUACAAAGCAGAACGCUCACAGAUGUAGGCCGGAAGGUAUUAAGCUCUAUUAUACAGCCACAGCUAUUGAAGUGACUGGAACCAAAGAAACUGGAACUAAAAUGACUGCACAAAGAAAUUGUUGACUGAGCUCCAAAACUCCAAAGUACACAGAAAAACAAGAAUAAGCCCAAACAAAAAUGGAUCAAAGUCCUUAAGAUAUUUGGGAAUAAAAUAAAGAAGAUGAAUAAGAGUCUAAGAAAUACAGCCAGUAGAAAUUCACCAUGAUCCAGCAAAUACCUUUGCUAGUAGAAUUGACAGACAGAAACCCAAAGGAAAUGAUCAGCCAAAGAACUGUAAAGUGGUCUACUUUAUUUUAACAGUAACGUAUGCUAUAGGGUUUGCUUUAAGAUCAUCCUGCCAGGCAGGGUGUGAGGUGGACUAGGGAGGGAAUCAGGAAGCAGAAGUGGCCGUGAGUUCUGCUUGCUGUAGAUAAUGAGGACGUGAGAUUGCUGAUUCACUGUACGAGUAGAGAUUAAUUGUGCUGUUGGCUCUACUUUUAUCUGUGUGAAAUUUUCCAUAAUAAAAUUUUAAGCCAUGUUAUCGGAGAGAUUCAAGAAACGAAAUGUGGAAUAAUGCUGGAAGCCAGGGUGCCAUGGAUUUGGACCUUAAGUAAAUAGAAAUAAACGUAUCAAAGUAAAGCUAACACAGUUGAAUGUCAAAUUAGAGUAAAAGAAAAUGACCACACCAUACUUUUCUACACUGUAUUAUGUGCAAGUACUUGCUCCUGGGAAUCCAAGGCUGGUCACCCAGCAGUUGUACCGCUCACCUGGGAGACUCUUCAUCGAGUCCCACUGAGCAGAGAGGAACAGCCACACCUGGUCCCUGACAGUACAGCUCCCUACUAGAGGUCAGUUUGUUCAGACUCCCAGAGCUCCCCUCCUGGUGGCAAGAGGAAGCUUGGAAUGGCUCAGUUGAAUGUGAGAGGUUAUUGCUAAUCAGUAAGAGCCGCCAACUAUCUGUGAUCAAGGCUGGAAAAUGCCAGAGAAGAAAAUAUAAUAACUACAGAAGAGAUGUCAUUAUAUCUGAAAUGAACACAUCUAGGACAAAGACUUACAAGAAACAGGUUUUGAUUAAGAUAUAAAUGCUGGAAAACAAAAGUCAAUGUGCACGUCUCACCAUACCUAUGCUGAACCCCUGAAAAAAGAUUAACUUGUAUUUAUUAGUAGUACCAUUUUGUAAAUGAGGAAACAUACGCAGGAAGGUUAGGAAAUAUUCCAAGGUUGCUGUGAGAGACACAGUGCUUUCAGAGAGCCACUGUCCUCCCUGCAUGGCAGCCUCUCUGGCAAUGGGUUGACGCCAUGUGACUAGUCUAGUGGGCAGAAUGAGUGGAAGUGAUCUUCUCACUUCCUGGAUGAGGCAGUGAAGAAGCAAUGCUCCCCCAGUUCUCUCUUCCCUUCCCACAGGGACCUUAAAGAGCACGUUAGGCUGAUAGCACCAGAAAAUGGACGAAGCCUAGAACUUGAGUCAUAACCUUGCAAACGCCCCAUGAACCCUCAUCAGACUGUGCAUGAAUGAUGAAAAAAUUUGUAAAUUAAGCUGUGAGAUUUUAGGAUCUACUUGUUCUUACAGCAUAGCCUGUCCUACACUGAUAAGAACAGGCACUGAGAUUGCAAGGCUAAAUCUUUCUGACUCUAAAGUCUAUUCAUUUAACUAUUACACUCAAAACAAAAAAAGAAACUACUUCUGCAUGCUUCUUAAAAUAACUAGACAGAUAGGUGGACAUUGUGGCGGGCGCCUGUAGUCUCAGCUACUUGGGAGGCUGAGGCAAGAGAAUCGCUUGAGUCCAGGAGUUUGAGGUUGUUAUGAGCUGUGACGCUAUAGCACUCUACCGAGGGUGAAAUAGUAAGACUCUGUCUCAAAUAAAUAAAUAAAAUAACUAGACAGAGAGUUACAUAAUAAAGGGUGUUAUUUACUCCUCUAAAUAGCUACCAUACCAUAUAGGAAUCCACAUGAUGCUAGCAAAAGAGGACUAGCAUCAGGUAAAGAAGUAAAAUUGUUGUUUCACUAUAGGAAAAUACUUAAAAAUGUUUUACCACUAUAGAAGGGAGCAGACGUCUGUAGAUGUUCUACUGUCCAAAGCCAAAUUGGAACAUAUGCUAAAUGCAUGCUACAGAUGAAUAUUAGAGAUGGAAAGUCUUAAAAUACGUUUAAACUCCAAGUCUUUGGGAGACAAAAAAUAAGCUUGAAUCAAUUUAAAGACAAAACUCUAAUUAGAGGUGGAAUUACUAGUAUAAAAGGUUGGGGUUAGGUACAGUGGUUCACACCCGUAAUCCCAACACUCCGGGAGGCCGAGGCAGGGGGAUCAAUUGAACUCACGAGUUCACGACCAGCUUGAGCAAAAGGGAGACCUCAUCUCUAAAAAAUAGCUGGGUGUUGUGGAGGGUGCCUGUAGUCCUGAUUACUUGGGAGGCUGAGGUAAGAGGAUCUCUUGAGCCCAAGAGUUUGAGGCUGCUGUGAGCUAUGAUGCGACAGCACUCUACUGGUGGCAAGAAAGUGAGAGACUCUGUCUCAAAAAAAAAAAAAUUAAAAAAAAAAUAGUGUAUAAGAUUAAUUUAUGGUCAUGGAGAAGAAAUGGGUAAAAAAAUAACUGUUGCAAUGCAAGCUCUUCUACAAUGUUCCCGAAGGAUAAUGUGGCAGGCAGAAAUUCUCUUUUCUCAAUACUUUCCACCCUAAAUCCCUGGGAUUAUGAAUAUGACAAGAUAUAACACUAUGAAUAUGUUACAUUACAUGGAAAAAGGACCUUUGCAGAUGUAAUUAUGGUUGUUAAUCAUUUGACCUAAAGAAAGGAAGAUUAUUCUGGAUUGUCUGGGUGGGUCUAAUCUAAUAACAUGGGUCUUUUAAAACACAAUGUUUUCUGCAGCAGCAGCAGUCAGAGAUUCAAAGCAUAAAGAGUCAUUUGAGACAUCAUUGCUGGCUUUGAAGAAGGAGGGGGUCACAUGCCAAGGAAUGCAGAUAACUUACAGGGGCUAAGAACAGUCCUGGCUGACAAUGAGGCAUUAAAUGGGGACCUCAGUUCUACAACCUCAGGGGACCAAAUUCAGCUACUAGACUGAAUGAUCGUGGAAGAUUCUUCCCUGGGCCCUCCAGAUAAGAGUCUAGACUGGCAGACAUCUUGAUUUCAGCCUUGGGAGAUCUUAAACAGAGAACACAGCAACGAUAGAAACAUAAUGCAAUUGGCUCUGUGCCCAUAACUCAGUGAGUAGGGCGCCAGCCAUAUACACUGAGGCUAGCGGGUUCAAGCCUGGCCCAGGCCUGCUAAAUAACAAUGACAAAUGCAACAAAAAAUAGCUGGGUAUUGUGGUUGGCGCGUGUAGUCCCAGCUACUUAGGAGGCUGAGGCAAGAGACUCGCUUAAGCCCAAGAGUUUGAGGUUGCUGUGAGCUGUGACACCAUGGCCCUCUACCAAAAGCAACAUAGUGAGACUCUAUCUCAAAAAAUAUUAAAAA
Nycticebus coucang (slow loris) is the source of this 4373-nucleotide long non-coding RNA. RefSeq lists it as uncharacterized. NCBI's taxonomy places the organism in Eukaryota, Metazoa, Chordata, Mammalia, Primates, Lorisidae. The record is from RefSeq and is a predicted model, not a curated record. The transcript is spliced from 5 exons.